CUUGCCUACGGGACGCAGCAGUGAGGAAUAUUGGUCAAUGGGCGCGAGCCUGAACCAGCCAAGUCGCGUGAGGGAUGACGGCCCUACGGGUUGUAAACCUCUUUUGUCGGGGAGCAAAUUCCGCCACGUGUGGCGGAGUCGAGAGUACCCGAAGAAAAAGCAUCGGCUAACUCCGUGCCAGCAGCCGCGGUAAUACGGAGGAUGCGAGCGUUAUCCGGAUUUAUUGGGUUUAAAGGGUGCGCAGGCGGAGGUGCAAGUCAGCGGUCAAGUUGCGGGGCUCAACCCCGUACUGCCGUUGAAACUGC
Molecule: ribosomal RNA, 305 nt
Filed under: uncultured bacterium
Lineage: Bacteria
Description: bacterial SSU rRNA
Rfam family: Bacterial small subunit ribosomal RNA
Source: RNAcentral